GAUGAACGCUAGCGGGAGGCUUAAUACAUGCAAGUCGAGGGGUAACGAUGGAGCUUGCUCCAGGCGACGACCGGCGCACGGGUGAGUAACGCGUACACGACCUACCUUAUACUGAGGGAUAGCCCUGGGAAACUGGGAGUAAUACCUCAUAGUAAUAUUUAUUUACGGAUUAAUAUUUAAAGCUCCGGCGGUAUAAGAUGGGUGUGCGUUAGAUUAGUUUGUUGGUAAGGUAACGGCUUACCAAGACUACGAUCUAUAGGGGGCGUGAGAGCGUGAACCCCCACACGGGUACUGAGACACGGACCCGACUCCUACGGGAGGCAGCAGUAAGGAAUAUUGGACAAUGGGGGAAACCCUGAUCCAGCCAUCCUGCGUGCAGGAAGACGGCCCUAUGGGUUGUAAACUGCUUUUGUAUAGGAAGAAUGUGUUCCAUUUAUGGGAUUUUGACGGUACUAUACGAAUAAGCACCGGCUAACUCCG
This 480-nucleotide ribosomal RNA is filed under the name uncultured Saprospiraceae bacterium. Its description in RNAcentral is "bacterial SSU rRNA". It matches the Rfam family "Bacterial small subunit ribosomal RNA", at positions 28 to 505 of the family's 1533-position model. Lineage: Bacteria; Pseudomonadati; Bacteroidota; Saprospiria; Saprospirales; Saprospiraceae. The record is from RNAcentral.